AGUGAACGCUGGCGGUAGGCCUAACACAUGCAAGUCGAACGGCAGCACAGUAAGAGCUUGCUCUUACGGGUGGCGAGUGGCGGACGGGUGAGGAAUACAUCGGAAUCUACUUUUUCGUGGGGGUUAACGUAGGGAAACUUACGCUAAUACCGCAUACGACCUACGGGUGAAAGCAGGGGAUCUUCGGAGCUUGCGGGAUUGAAUGAGCCGAUGUCGGAUUAGCUAGUUGGCGGGGUAAAGGCCCACCAAGGCGACGAUCCGUAGCUGGUCUGAGAGGAUGGUCGGCCACACUGGAACUGAGACACGGUCCAGAGUCCUACGGGAGGCAGCAGUGGGGAAUAUUGGACAAUGGGCGCAAGCCUGAUCCAGCCAUACCGCGUGGGUGAAGAAGACCUUCGGGUUGUAAAGCCCUUUUGUUGGGAAAGAAAAGCAGCAGGUUAAUACCCCGCUGUUCUGACGGUACCCAAAGAAUAAGCACCGGCUAACUUCGUG
RNAcentral lists this ribosomal RNA (492 nucleotides) under uncultured bacterium. Its description in RNAcentral is "partial 16S ribosomal RNA". It matches the Rfam family "Bacterial small subunit ribosomal RNA", at positions 29 to 507 of the family's 1533-position model. The record is from RNAcentral.